Molecule: ribosomal RNA, 253 nt
Filed under: uncultured bacterium
Lineage: Bacteria
Description: partial 16S ribosomal RNA
Rfam family: Bacterial small subunit ribosomal RNA
Source: RNAcentral
UACGGAGGGUGCGAGCGUUGUCCGGAAUCAUUGGGCGUAAAGGGCGCGUAGGUGGCCCGGUCAGUCAGUGGUGAAAGCGCGGGGCUCAACUCCGCGUCGGCCAUUGAUACUGCUGGGCUUGAGCACUGUAGAGGCAGGCGGAAUUCCCGGUGUAGUGGUGGAAUGCGUAGAUUUCGGGAGGAACACCAGUGGCGAAGGCGGUUGCCUGGAGCUUUGCUGACGCUGAGGCGCGAAAGCGUGGGGAGCAAACAGG